Molecule: small RNA, 747 nt
Filed under: Malus domestica (apple)
Lineage: Eukaryota; Viridiplantae; Streptophyta; Magnoliopsida; Rosales; Rosaceae
Source: RNAcentral
AUCUCAAUGAGGAAGAAUGCCCAAAGUGAUAGGAAGUGCCGUAUGACACUUUAUACAGCGGCGGCCACACGCUAACGGAGCCCGCCUCGUUCUCAUCCCCCAAUGAUUGGUUCGUUGGCCGGGAACAGGCGUGCGGCUCCGGUGUGCCGCCGCCGUGUGUGAUUUGGAACGGGAUUCUGAGGGUCUUGAGUUUUUCCGAUUACUGCAAUUAUUAUUCAGUUUUAAUUAUUUUUUAUUUAUUUUGUGUGAUUAUUUUGAAAGGUUCGAUGCCACGACGACGGUAGCUAAAAUGGCCUUGACCGACGUUGCUAUGAUUGAACCGAGAGCGAGGAUCUUCUGUUUCGCAUUCUGAUAGGAACCUGUGGAUCCUAAUCUUUUACCGGUCCACGGAGCCGAUUUACUGCGAUUACAUUUUUUAUUUUCUUGAAUUUUUAUUUGGUUUUGAUUAAAAAAAAAUAUUAUGUUAUUUUAGAAAAUAAUUUGUUGAGCCUAUGAGGAUUGUUAUUUUAGUUGGAAUUACCGACUGAAUUUUAUUGAUGUCAAAUAACUGGCUUUCUGAGGCUUAAAAGUUUUUAAUUAAAUGGUUGAUAAUUUAUUUAAGAAAUAUAAGAGUAUUUGAUUGGUCAGUGAUGAUAAAUCCGAAGGCUUGUUUCUCAAGAACAUUCGCAGUGGCCGCCUAAGAGCUUUCGCCUUUCGCCGGGCUCGAGAGCUUGUGCUGUUUUUAUCCUUCCUUGGAUGUCUGAGAUC